UUGAACGCUGGCGGCAUGCUUUACACAUGCAAGUCGAACGGUAGAGGGCUUCGGCCCUUGCGAGUGGCGAACGGGUGAGUAAUGCAUCGGAACAUACCCAGUCGUGGGGGAUAACGUAGCGAAAGUUACGCUAAUACCGCAUACGUCCUGAGGGAGAAAGCGGGGGAUGGCAAGACCUCGAGCGAUUGGAGUGGCCGAUGUCAGAUUAGCUAGUUGGUGAGGUAAAGGCUCACCAAGGCGACGAUCCGUAGCUGGUCUGAGAGGACGACCAGCCACACUGGAACUGAGACACGGUCCAGACUCCUACGGGAGGCAGCAGUGGGGAAUUUUGGACAAUGGGGGCAACCCUGAUCCAGCCAUUCCGCGUGAGUGAAGAAGGCCUUCGGGUUGUAAAACUCUUUCGGCAGGAACGAAACGGUGAGCGCUAACAUAGCGUGCUAAUGACGGUACCUGAAGAAGAAGCACCGGCUAACUACGU
Molecule: ribosomal RNA, 478 nt
Filed under: uncultured bacterium
Lineage: Bacteria
Description: bacterial SSU rRNA
Rfam family: Bacterial small subunit ribosomal RNA
Source: RNAcentral